UAGAGUCUGGUGUAAUAUUGGUAGCACAAAGAAUUUUGAAUUCUUGGGGGCAGGUUCAACUCCUGCAACUCUAG
RNAcentral lists this transfer RNA (74 nucleotides) under Histiotus montanus (small big-eared brown bat). RNAcentral's name for it is "tRNA-Gln". It matches the Rfam family "tRNA". From Rfam's summary of the family: Transfer RNA (tRNA) molecules are approximately 80 nucleotides in length. Their secondary structure includes four short double-helical elements and three loops (D, anti-codon, and T loops). Lineage: Eukaryota; Metazoa; Chordata; Mammalia; Chiroptera; Vespertilionidae. The record is from RNAcentral.